This 986-nucleotide ribosomal RNA is filed under the name uncultured cyanobacterium. RNAcentral's name for it is "bacterial SSU rRNA". It matches the Rfam family "Bacterial small subunit ribosomal RNA", at positions 471 to 1456 of the family's 1533-position model. The record is from RNAcentral. Lineage: Bacteria; Bacillati; Cyanobacteriota.
GACGGUACUUGAUGAAUAAGCCACGGCUAAUUCCGUGCCAGCAGCCGCGGUAAUACGGGAGUGGCAAGCGUUAUCCGGAAUUAUUGGGCGUAAAGCGUCCGCAGGCGGCCUUGUAAGUCUGUCGUCAAAGCGUGGAGCUUAACUCCAUUUAAGCGAUGGAAACUGCAAGGCUAGAGUGUGGUAGGGGCAGAGGGAAUUCCCGGUGUAGCGGUGAAAUGCGUAGAUAUCGGGAAGAACACCAGUGGCGAAGGCGCUCUGCUGGGCCAUAACUGACGCUCAUGGACGAAAGCCAGGGGAGCGAAAGGGAUUAGAUACCCCUGUAGUCCUGGCCGUAAACGAUGAACACUAGGUGUCGGGGGAAUCGACCCCCUCGGUGUCGUAGCCAACGCGUUAAGUGUUCCGCCUGGGGAGUACGCACGCAAGUGUGAAACUCAAAGGAAUUGACGGGGGCCCGCACAAGCGGUGGAGUAUGUGGUUUAAUUCGAUGCAACGCGAAGAACCUUACCAGGGUUUGACAUCCUGCGAAUCCUUUGGGAACGAGGGAGUGCCUUCGGGAGCGCAGAGACAGGUGGUGCAUGGCUGUCGUCAGCUCGUGUCGUGAGAUGUUGGGCUAAGUCCCGCAACGAGCGCAACCCACGUCGUUAGUUGCCAGCAUUUAGUUGGGCACUCUAGCGAGACCGCCGGUGAUAAACCGGAGGAAGGUGUGGAUGACGUCAAGUCAUCAUGCCCCUUACAUCCUGGGCUACACACGUACUACAAUGCUACGGACAAAGGGCAGCAAACUCGCGAGAGCUAGCAAAUCCCAUAAACCGUGGCUCAGUUCAGAUCGUAGGCUGCAACUCGCCUACGUGAAGGAGGAAUCGCUAGUAAUCGCAGGUCAGCAUACUGCGGUGAAUACGUUCCCGGGCCUUGUACACACCGCCCGUCACACCAUGGAAGUUGGCCACGCCCGAAGCCGUUACUCCAACCCUUGUGGAGGAGGACGU